This 466-nucleotide ribosomal RNA is filed under the name uncultured bacterium. RNAcentral's name for it is "partial 16S ribosomal RNA". It matches the Rfam family "Bacterial small subunit ribosomal RNA", at positions 28 to 507 of the family's 1533-position model. The record is from RNAcentral.
GAUGAACGCUGGCGGCGUGCUUAACACAUGCAAGUCGAACGAUGAAGCCCAGCUUGCUGGGUGGAUUAGUGGCGAACGGGUGAGUAACACGUGAGUAACCUGCCCUUGACUCUGGGAUAAGCCUGGGAAACUGGGUCUAAUACUGGAUAUGACUUCUCAUCGCAUGGUGGGGGGUGGAAAGAUUUAUUGGUCUUGGAUGGACUCGCGGCCUAUCAGCUUGUUGGUGAGGUAAUGGCUCACCAAGGCGACGGCGGGUAGCCGGCCUGAGAGGGUGACCGGCCACAAUGGGACUGAGACACGGCCCAGACUCCUACGGGAGGCAGCAGUGGGGAAUAGUGCACAAUGGGCGCAAGCCUGAUGCAGCGACGCCGCGUGGGGGAUGACGGCCUUCGGGUUGGAAACCUCUUUCAGCAGGGAAGAAGCGAGAGUGACGGUACCUGCAGAAGAAGCGCCGGCUAACUACGUG